This 88-nucleotide non-coding RNA is filed under the name Peptococcaceae bacterium. Its description in RNAcentral is "c-di-GMP sequence". It matches the Rfam family "c-di-GMP-I riboswitch aptamer". Rfam says of the family: GEMM was predicted in a large-scale screen for bacterial structured RNA regulatory elements. Genes associated with GEMM are involved in a diverse array of functions, including chemotaxis regulation, signal transduction, secretion and chitin. Lineage: Bacteria; Bacillati; Bacillota; Clostridia; Eubacteriales; Peptococcaceae. The record is from RNAcentral.
UAUCGAUAAAGGCAAAGUCACUGAAAGGUGGCGGCGCAAAGCUAAAGGGGCUAAGGCGGAUUACCCGCUAUGCCAGCCAGUUGCCGAA